GAAAUGUUGGGUUAAGUCCCGCAACGAGCGCAACCCUUAUCCUUUGUUGCCAGCGGUUAGGCCGGGAACUCAAAGGAGACUGCCAGUGAUAAACUGGAGGAAGGUGGGGAUGACGUCAAGUCAUCAUGGCCCUUACGACCAGGGCUACACACGUGCUACAAUGGCGCAUACAAAGAGAAGCGACCUCGCGAGAGCAAGCGGACCUCAUAAAGUGCGUCGUAGUCCGGAUUGGAGUCUGCAACUCGACUCCAUGAAGUCGGAAUCGCUAGUAAUCGUGGAUCAGAAUGCCACGGUGAAUACGUUCCCGGGCCUUGUACACACCGCCCGUCACACCAUGGGAGUGGGUUGCAAAAGAAGUAGGUAGCUUAACCUUCGGGAGGGCGCUUACCACUUUGUGAUUCAUGACUGGGGUGAAGUCGUAACAAGGUAACCGUAGGGGAACCUGCGGUUGGAUCACCUCCUUACCUUAAAGAAGC
This 476-nucleotide ribosomal RNA is filed under the name Salmonella enterica subsp. enterica serovar Heidelberg. RNAcentral describes it as "bacterial SSU rRNA". It matches the Rfam family "Bacterial small subunit ribosomal RNA", at positions 1069 to 1533 of the family's 1533-position model. Lineage: Bacteria; Pseudomonadati; Pseudomonadota; Gammaproteobacteria; Enterobacterales; Enterobacteriaceae. The record is from RNAcentral.